ACUCCUACGGGAGGCAGCAAUAGGGAAUCUUCCACAAUGGGCGCAAGCCUGAUGGAGCAACACCGCGUGAGUGAAGAAGGGUUUCGGCUCGUAAAGCUCUGUUGUUAAAGAAGAACACGUAUGAGAGUAACUGUUCAUACGUUGACGGUAUUUAACCAGAAAGUCACGGCUAACUACGUGCCAGCAGCCGCGGUAAUACGUAGGUGGCAAGCGUUAUCCGGAUUUAUUGGGCGUAAAGAGAGUGCAGGCGGUUUUCUAAGUCUGAUGUGAAAGCCUUCGGCUUAACCGGAGAAGUGCAUCGGAAACUGGAUAACUUGAGUGCAGAAGAGGGUAGUGGAACUCCAUGUGUAGCGGUGGAAUGCGUAGAUAUAUGGAAGAACACCAGUGGCGAAGGCGGCUACCUGGUCUGCAACUGACGCUGAGACUCGAAAGCAUGGGUAGCGAGCAGGAUUAGAUACCCUGGUAGGAUAGCG
Molecule: ribosomal RNA, 473 nt
Filed under: uncultured bacterium
Lineage: Bacteria
Description: bacterial SSU rRNA
Rfam family: Bacterial small subunit ribosomal RNA
Source: RNAcentral